GGUGAACGAGUUGACUGAAAGACCGAGUGAACGAAAGAUCCAGACGGUGAACGAGUUGACUGAAAGACCGAGUGAACGAAAGAUCCAGACCGAUGAACGAGUUGACUGAAAGACCGAGUUGACUGGCCGCCGCACGAGGCCCGACAGCCGAGCCCGAGCGAGCGGGACAGUCACACACACACAAAGGCACACAGCUGCUGCUGCAGCCAGAGGCAGAGAGACAACUAUUAAUACGCAUUUGCACUGUCUGUUGACAUUUUGUACUUUUUAUUAUUGUUUUUAAUGCACCUCAAAAUAAUAAAAACCAUUAAAAACCUUAUAUAUUUUGUUACUCCUACUAUAAUUUUAUAUUACAAGGAGUGCAGCGCGAUCGCAGCGUUGGACCGGGGGUGGGAAGUGGGGAGUGCAGCGGUCACAGCGUCGGACCGCGGGGGGGUCGUAACGUCGGACCGGGGAGCUGAGACGCUCGCAACGUCGGAUCCGGAGGGGUGUAAUGCUUCAGAUUUCAAGAUCACAUGUUGUUGCGCUGUUAAGUCUGAAGUGCAGUCAGUCCGUUCGUUCAUCACGAACGUGAACAACAUGAACGAGUGGACUGACUAAUGACCGAUUGACCGAAAUGACCGAAAUGAACGGGUCUUUUUACUGAACGACCCGGAAUGAUCCGGUUCACUGAAAUGAACGGUUUUGCCCACCACUACUGAAAUGUAUUCAUUUAUUACUCCUGGUACAACAAAAGGAAAUAUGAAGAAUAAUAAAAACAAUGAAAAAUUAAGCAAGAGUAGCUUUAUUCUUAACCUCUGACCCUGUCUCCUUUUACCACACCCUUACAUGUAAUAUUUACAGUGAAAAUCUCAGCCACCUUUGCUGCACAGUGCACACAGAUGAGAGGCCAAAAACUUAUAAAAACAUAUGCACAUGUUGGUGAACGUGUGUCAAUUGUUGUUAGUAGGUGCUCAUAGAUGAGUGACGUGCAUAGUGCCAUUUGGCCUAUCUAGAGAUGACAUUCAUCAGCCACCUUGAAUGGCAGACACACACAAACACACACACACACACACACACACACACACACACACACACACACACACACACACACACACACACACUGUAUUCUGUUUGUGUGUCAGAGGGACCUCUAAGAGUGUGUAAAAGGUGCUCUGGCUUAAGGAAUUGACAGGACAUAGAGGUGAAACUCAACCAGCCCAAGGGAAUAUGGGAAGCAUACAAAGCUACUUGGAGUGUGUGCAUGGGUGUGUCACUGAGCUGAACUGUCUGACUCUGGCUCCUCUCAGGACCCUGCUGUCAACAGUAGUGAUAUUAUAAAGAGCUUCAGGGUGGAAACGGCCAAACACUCCUCCCUGGACAGAUCUAUCCGAUCUUCCCUAUAUUGUACAUCAAGAAGAAUCUGAAACGACUGAAUCUGAAAAGCGGAGGUGGUUUUCACCUAUCAGGUAGUGCAGAAACAUUUGAAUUUUCCCCAAUGUAGUUUUUGUAUCAGUGUUAAGCCAGUGGUACACGCAUCCAGGGGAAUACGCUUAUUUUUAUUUGUGGACCCAAAAUACACUUAACCGGCUUUUUCUUAAGAUCUGCAAUAAAUGAUUUAAAAAAAUAGCUGUAAUGUCCCAAAAAUGAAUAAAGAUGCACAAAGACUUGGAUGGAUUUUUACUCCCAACUAUAGAUCCACAAAAUCAAAGUUUGCACUUAGAGUUUGGUCUAAUAAUUUGAAGGUCUGCAUACCCUUUUGUGGGUUUUUGCAAAUAUUUCUGGCCCUACCUACAUAUUUUUGUAUAUGCAUUUGGACUUGUGGAUCUGGAUUAUUUGUGGAUCUGUCCUUGUGUGUCUUGAUCUGCACACAUAUUUGUGGAUCCCAGCGUGCACAUGCAUAUGCAGCAAUGGAUCUGCGUAUAUAUUUUUUGAUGUAAGUGUGCAUUUGUUGAUCUACGUAUGGAUUUGUAGAUAUGAGUGUUCAAGUGUUUGAUGCUGUACUUGCAUUUGCAUAUCAUACACUAUUUAUUCUCAUUUCUUCUUGAGUUUCAAUUUUGUAUCACUUUAAUCGAAUCUUCAAAAAUGCGAUCUAGUACAGACAAUGACUGUCCUUCUAUUGCAGUCCACUCCCAGAAUCCCCCCACAAAAGCUGUAGGCUAAUGAAGCAUAGCGGUCGUUCAGGCAGGACACGGAGUCAAGCUAAAGGUUACAGUCAGCUGAUCUUAAGCCAGCCCUCAGUCAGUUGACAGCUCAGGUGAUCGCUGUCUACACAUCCUAUUGGCUAAUGUCAAAAUGGUGCCCUAUUUAAACUGCUUCUCCUGCCUGCAGCAACCACUCUGCAGGGCUGCAUCUACUCUGCAAGCUCCCAUUCUCUUGAGAACACUCAGAUCUGCAUUUUUGCUUUUUUCUACCUUGCUCUUCAUCAUGUUGAUCCCGGCCCACGACGUGGAUCCAUGGCAGAUUGACUGCGCAACAUCAGCAAUGUGAAGUCGAGGAAGCCAGUCCUUGCAAUGGCAGCUACGUUCCCUUCCGCAUGAGCUAUCCUCUGGCAAGUAAAACUUCUUUCUCCUAGCUUCAUGAAUGGCGGUGUCCAGGCCCCUGGAAGUCCUUUAAAAAUAACAUCACAGCUCCAGAUGGUGCCUCACAUCAAGAGAUUUUCACCUUGUUUAUGAAUAAUAAAAAAUAUAUAUAUAUACAGUAUAUAUGUAUAUAUAUAUGUGUGUGUGUGUGUGUGUGUGUAUAGAGAUUGAGCCUCCACUUGCAGUUCUCUCUUCCUCCUUUGUCUCUAGAAAAGCAACGGAGAAAAGAAAACACUGUUCCCGCAGCGUCACGGGCCAAUCCCAGCUACCAGACCCAUCGACCUGGACGACAGUCCCAUCCUGAACGCACCUAGCAUCUAGCAUCCAGCCAUCACCUACCCAUAUGUCUUCAAGGAUCGAAGCCUCAGAAUCCAGUUGGGCACGUUAAAGAUGGUGAUCCCCGGCUGUUUAACUCUCCGACCUUAGCUGAAUUCAUGUAGCUUUCAGCGUAUUUGGAAAUUUCAUAUGUGAAGUGUUUUCAGCACGCAGAACUGAACUGGACACAUAUCUUGCCAUCAUUUCUGAUUCAGCCAUGACUUAUGGAAGAAUAUUAUUCUAGUAAUAUCACAAAUCAGUAGAAAUUUCACUGGGCCUCAAGCUUUUUCCUGCUCAAUCUGUGUGUCUUUCUUUCACACCCAGAGGUGGAAGUAAGCCAGUAAGCCGAUAUGCAGCGGGACACAGAAGUACGCCGUUCCAGGAAGACAUAAUCAGCAGUUUACAGCCGGUAUGCAGCGGUACGCAAACCUUCACCCCUGCAGUAUAUGUAGGGUACAUUUGCUUAGUGUGUUGCCGUACAUCAGUCUGCACUCUGCAUUGUAACUAUAGAAAUCCAAUCGCACUUUUGAUUGGACGCUGGUUGCCAAGGUGCUGGGGCCCGCCUCCCGCCUUUUGUGGAAGGAGGGAACUUUUAAACAGAUAGCCGCUUCAAUCUUAAUGCAGAAAUAAGACAAAAUGAUAAAUAAAUCAACAAAUAAAUAAAUUGAUUUUAUGUUCAAGAGAGAGAGAGAUGCAGCAGAUGAUGAUACUCUGGCAUCAGAGUCCACAUCUCGCUAAAUGUGGGUAUCCUCCCCUUGUUCAAGCCUACGGGGACAGUACAUGCAAGAAUAUUAUCCUAUAUUAACCCCUUCUCACACCUCCAAUCUGUGCCCUAAAACUGUGCCUACAGGCCAACCACCAAGCUUCUUCUAAGUUUACAACUCAGCAAAGCCAAGUUACUGCAAGGACAGACAUCUAAAAUCAGCAUGCCCAAGAUGCACUCACCUUGUAAAAAAGGAGAAUAAAGCUGUCUACUCUGUCAAAUGUCCCUGAGCUGGGGAAGGCACUGGCAAAGCAUCCCAACUGCUGUUUGUGAAUUAUUUGAUGACAGGACUGGUUCAGGGGUUCCUAGCAGGUUUGGUCUGGCUGCCAAAAGUGUGUUUUGUGUGUAAAAAAAAAAUUACAAUCCAUGAUAAAAGAUCUUGAAAUAGUAGAUGGAGAAGAGGUUAAGAAAAGAUUCAUGAUUGGACCCUAUGCCAAGUCACCUUUCAAUUACCUGCAUUCAUCCUUUAGGCAUAGCUACGGGUAAAUACUCGGGGACAAGCAGAGAAGUAACGGGUCAUCCUCGAGAGGCAGUACAUCUACCGAAAAGAGAACUUUUCUCUUUGCUUUGGCAUAUUAAUUUGUCAUGCGUGUCAUGCCUCAGGGGCGGUCCUUUAUAUCUAGACUUCUCAACCUCAUCAAAUCAGUUGAGAAACUCCAUGAAAGGGUAAGUUUAGAUGAAAGUUGCAGAUCCAAACUGCGGUUUGGUCACUUCUGUGCUGUGCCGGGAGGCAGCACCAUCCAGCCGGACCUGUCCCCCAUUCACUCAGACUGAAUUUGUCUGAGUGCAGUCUUGCAAACUUGUGUGCUCUCUGCUGCCCGCUAUACGAUAGCUGGUUAAGCAAAAUCAGCAUUUAAGUUAAUAUGAUUCUGCAUGGUCUUACUUUAUCUCUUUUGUACCACCUUCUCUGUAGCUCCAACGCUGUAAAUAUAUCCAUUGUUUGUGCAUUAAUACUGUUUUGAAUCUUGCAAAUAUUGCCAUCCUACAUUAAAGGACUUGUAGCAGGUAUUCAGUUCCAUCUGCGCUGUCUGACCCCAUCUACCACCAGCCUGCUUAUUCAUCUCCUGCUCAAUGGCCUAAAGAAGGAAAGGCCGCAAGACAAAGAUAAACAUCUCCCCUUUACUCCCCUGGUUCUAAAAAACCUAAUCACUUAUUCAAGAGGUGGUUGCUUUGGUCCUUAUACUGAUUUGCUUUGGAACAGUGUUCCUCACAGCUUUCUAUGGGUAUCUCAGAGGUAGUGAAUUCACUAUACGCACUAAUUAUUUCAAUCCUACACAUGACCUCAUUCUUGCUGACAUAGAAAUUAAGCCUCACAAUUUCACUCUAUUUCUAAGUACUCAAAAACUAAAGAAAAUGUAAUGCGUCUUUUAUUACUCGAACUAACUCUGACUUUGUACUUUGUCCUCCAUGUCCCACUACCUGAGAGGCCAGCCACUGGCCAGCUAGCAAGAGCCUCUCUUUGCCACAGAAGAAGGGAAACCUAUAUCCAGAUGGUGGUUUUCUGCUCACCUCUGCCUGCUCUGCCACUCCUGCUGGCUCCCACCCGAGUGCAACUCGCGCAUAGAUGCAUACAUGCAUACAUGCAUACAUGCAGCUACAACUGCAUCCUCCAUUGUCCCCGUCUUAACACUCAAGGCUACGGGUCAAUGGUCCUCAUCAUAAUACCUCAGGCCUGAGGCUCAAGAAAUUCUUAUGCUCAAUUAGCUGUUAGUGCUUUGAAAAAUGCUUCUGUGUAAUAAUUCUGUCCCAUAUC
Molecule: long non-coding RNA, 5392 nt
Filed under: Xyrichtys novacula (pearly razorfish)
Lineage: Eukaryota; Metazoa; Chordata; Actinopteri; Labriformes; Labridae
Source: RNAcentral